UCUCGUGCUGUGACCCUCUAGAGGGAAGCACUUUCUGUUGAAAGAAAAGAACAUGCAUCCUUUCAGAGGGUUACUCUUUGAGA
Molecule: microRNA precursor, 83 nt
Filed under: Homo sapiens (human)
Lineage: Eukaryota; Metazoa; Chordata; Mammalia; Primates; Hominidae
Description: mir-515 microRNA precursor family
Rfam family: mir-515 microRNA precursor family
Source: Rfam by way of RNAcentral